This 253-nucleotide ribosomal RNA is filed under the name uncultured bacterium. RNAcentral's name for it is "partial 16S ribosomal RNA". It matches the Rfam family "Bacterial small subunit ribosomal RNA", at positions 524 to 776 of the family's 1533-position model. The record is from RNAcentral.
UACGUAGGGUGCAAGCGUUGUCCGGAAUUAUUGGGCGUAAAGGGUAGGUAGGUGGUCUCAUUUGUCCGGGGUGAAAGCCUUGAGCUUAACUCAAGAAGUGCCCCGGAAACGGUGAGACUGGAGUCUUGGAGAGGGUCGUGGAAUUCCCGGUGUAGCGGUGAAAUGCGUAGAGAUCGGGAGGAACACCAGAGGCGAAAGCGGCGACCUGGACAAGUACUGACACUCAACUACGAAAGCGUGGGGAGCAAACAGG